GGAUGUAAGAGUGAUCGGGCUGGGACAUGUGUCACCCCACUGAUCACUAGAGUGAUAUGGCUGAUCUUGUUGGCCAGGCGGGGUGUCCUCUUCCUCCCUCACUACUCCAUGUGUGUCCCUUGUGAAACUAUGAGCCUUCCCUGAUUGAGGAGGCCUGUUCUUUUGUUUAGGGCAUAGGAAUAGCUGCACUCCCCUUCUAGAACUUCCAGGCAAUCCCUGGGGGUCCAUUUUUAGGAGACCAUAGGGUAGUCAAGCUUCCAAGACUCUCGGUUUAUCCAAAUGAGGCACUGUGUAUGGCCAUCUGCAUUUCUUU
Molecule: small nuclear RNA, 313 nt
Filed under: Neogale vison (American mink)
Lineage: Eukaryota; Metazoa; Chordata; Mammalia; Carnivora; Mustelidae
Description: Neovison vison (American mink) 7SK RNA (ENSNVIG00000008693.1)
Rfam family: 7SK RNA
About the family: 7SK was discovered as an abundant small nuclear RNA in the mid-70s but a possible function has only recently been suggested. Two independent studies have found that 7SK RNA binds the CDK9/cyclin T complex (known as elongation factor P-TEFb).
Source: Rfam by way of RNAcentral